Molecule: ribosomal RNA, 437 nt
Filed under: uncultured bacterium
Lineage: Bacteria
Description: partial 16S ribosomal RNA
Rfam family: Bacterial small subunit ribosomal RNA
Source: RNAcentral
UGGGGAAUAUUGCACAAUGGGCGAAAGCCUGAUGCAGCAACGCCGCGUGAGUGAUGAAGGCCUUCGGUUGUAAAGCUCUGUCUUUUGGGACGAUAAUGACGGUACCAAAGGAGGAAGCCACGGCUAACUACGUGCCAGCAGCCGCGGUAAUACGUAGGUGGCAAGCGUUGUCCGGAUUUACUGGGCGUAAAGGAUGCGUAGGCGGAUUUUUAAGUGAGAUGUGAAAUACCCGGGCUUAACUUGGGUGCUGCAUUUCAAACUGGGAAUCUAGAGUGCGGGAGAGGAGAAUGGAAUUCCUAGUGUAGCGGUGAAAUGCGUAGAGAUUAGGAAGAACACCAGUGGCGAAGGCGAUUCUCUGGACCGUAACUGACGCUGAGGCAUGAAAAGCGUGGAUAGCAAAACAGGAAUUAGAUACCCUGGUAGUCCACGCCGUAAAC